UUGCUGUUUAGAUAUUUCUUUCCUCCCUCUGCAGAUGCUUUCUUCCUUUGCAGGCUGAUGGUCUGUGGCCUGCUUUCUUCUGUCUUCCAGCACACUCCAUGUCUUCCCUCUGCAGAUGUUUGGAGCUCUGUCUUGUCUGCAGAAUCUGUCUUGUCUAACUGAGUGUCUUGCUUACAAAGUCACACCCUCCUCCCCCCCCCUGCCCCCGCUAAACAAUAGUAAGCAACCUGAUUGGUCUGCUUGACCAUGACAUCACACAGCUGGUGCUGCACAGAUAAUAAAUACUGCAGAAUUUUCUAUACUUUCAUCCCAAGACUCUCACUCCCUUUCCAAGGACUUCUUUUUUUUUUGGAAAA
Molecule: long non-coding RNA, 356 nt
Organism: Micropterus salmoides (largemouth bass)
Lineage: Eukaryota; Metazoa; Chordata; Actinopteri; Centrarchiformes; Centrarchidae
Exons: 2
Source: RefSeq, a predicted model, not a curated record